ACGGAAGGCAGCAGUGGGGAAUAUUGGGCAAUGGGCGAAAGCCUGACCCAGCGACGCCGCGUGAAGGAAGAAGGCCCUCGGGUUGUAAACUUCAGUCAACAGGGAAGAAACAAAUGACGGUACCUGUGGAGGAAGCCACGGCUAACUACGUGCCAGCAGCCGCGGUAAUACGUAGGUGGCGAGCGUUAUCCGGAUUUACUGGGUGUAAAGGGUGUGUAGGCGGGUCUGCAAGUCAGAUGUGAAAACCAUGGGCUCAACUCAUAGCUUGCAUUUGAAACUGUAGAUCUUGAGUGUCGGAGAGGUAAAUGGAAUUCCCAGUGUAGCGGUGAAAUGCGUAGAUAUUGGGAGGAACACCGGUGGCGAAGGCGGUUUACUGGACGAUUACUGACGCUGAGACACGAAAGUGUGGGGAGCAAACAGGAUUAGAUACCCUGGUA
This 437-nucleotide ribosomal RNA is filed under the name uncultured Oscillospiraceae bacterium. RNAcentral describes it as "partial 16S ribosomal RNA". It matches the Rfam family "Bacterial small subunit ribosomal RNA", at positions 341 to 792 of the family's 1533-position model. Lineage: Bacteria; Bacillati; Bacillota; Clostridia; Eubacteriales; Oscillospiraceae. The record is from RNAcentral.